GUCUGUGGCCAUGCCACCCUGAACAAGCCCGAUCCCAUCUGAUCUUGGAAGCUAAGCAGGGUCGGGCCUGCUUAGUAUGUGGAUGGGAGACCACCUAGGAAGACCAGGUGCUGUAGGUG
This 119-nucleotide ribosomal RNA is filed under the name Pteropus alecto (black flying fox). The record is from RNAcentral. Lineage: Eukaryota; Metazoa; Chordata; Mammalia; Chiroptera; Pteropodidae.